This 407-nucleotide unclassified non-coding RNA is filed under the name plant metagenome. RNAcentral describes it as "partial contains 5.8S ribosomal RNA, internal transcribed spacer 2, and large subunit ribosomal RNA". It matches the Rfam family "Bacterial small subunit ribosomal RNA", at positions 358 to 777 of the family's 1533-position model. The record is from RNAcentral.
GGAAUCUUGCGCAAUGGGCGAAAGCCUGACGCAGCGACGCCGCGUGAGGGAUGAAGGCCUUCGGGUUGUAAACCUCUUUCAGCAGGGACGAAGCGAAAGUGACGGUACCUGCAGAAGAAGCCCCGGCCAACUACGUGCCAGCAGCCGCGGUAAUACGUAGGGGGCAAGCGUUGUCCGGAUUUAUUGGGCGUAAAGAGCUCGUAGGCGGCUCUUCGCGUCGGAUGUGAAAGCUAAGGGCUCAACCCUUGGACGCCAUUCGAUACGGGAGAGCUAGAGGUAGGUAGGGGAGAUUGGAAUUCCUGGUGUAGCGGUGAAAUGCGCAGAUAUCAGGAGGAACACCGGUGGCGAAGGCGGAUCUCUGGGCCUUACCUGACGCUGAGGAGCGAAAGCUGGGGGAGCGAACAGGA